AGAGUUUGAUUAUGGCUCAGGAUGAACGCUGGCGGUGUGCCUAAUACAUGCAAGUCGAUCGGGCGUAGCAAUACGUCAGAGGCGUACGGGUGAGUAACACGUAGGUAACCUACCUUUAAGACUGGGAUACCCAGACGAAAGUUUGGCUAAUACCGGAUAACAACAUUUGAGACAUCUCUUUUGUUUGAAAGGCGCUGCAAGGCGCCACUUUUAGAUGGACCUGCGUCGCAUUAGCUAGUUGGUGAGAUAAAAGCCCACCAAGGCUGGGAUGCGUAGCCGAUCUGAGAGGAUGACCGGCCACAAUGGGACUGAGACACGGCCCAUACUCCUACGGGAGGCAGCAGUAGGGAGUUUUCGGCAAUGGGGGAAACCCUGACCGAGCAACACCGCGUGAGUGAUGAAGGUCUUCGGAUCGUAAAGCUCUGUUACGAGGGACGAAUGAUCGCUUUAGGAAAUGAGAGCGGUUUGACGGUACCCCGCCAGAAAGCGACGGCUAACUACGUGCCAGCAGCCGC
This 515-nucleotide ribosomal RNA is filed under the name uncultured bacterium. RNAcentral's name for it is "bacterial SSU rRNA". It matches the Rfam family "Bacterial small subunit ribosomal RNA", at positions 8 to 518 of the family's 1533-position model. The record is from RNAcentral.